Heterocephalus glaber (naked mole-rat) is the source of this 986-nucleotide long non-coding RNA. Lineage: Eukaryota; Metazoa; Chordata; Mammalia; Rodentia; Bathyergidae. The record is from Ensembl.
GGGAGAGCGACCUGUGGAGUCCCUAGUGACACACUGGGCAGCGAGACCCCCGCUGAGGCUUCAUCUGAAAACAAAGUCAGGAGCAGUUGCGUUUGCUGUUCCCGCAGCCAUGCAAAGGAGCAGCGGGGCAGAGGCGCAGCUUGGCCCCGGUUGUGGCCGGAGGGCCUGUGCCCCGUCUUCGGCGUCCCCCUCUGCUUCAAGACGGAGAUCUCUGUCCUGCGGCCCGGCAGACGAUGCCAUGAACCAUUACAACCGAAGCCUGGCUCUUCUGACCUCCGACUCGGCGAGCUACCUUCUGCCUGCUGGGCUUGGGGCAGCUUGUCCACAGGGCAGCACUGGUGAGCAUUUCCAGUCCACUCAACCGUUCAGGUUGGGAUUCUGACAUGUGAGUCUUUGGACCCUGCCCAGCUCAAGCCCAUCUUGCAAAACGGCCUUGACAUGCUGAUGAAAUUCGAUUUCUUUACUCGUCCGUCUCGCUGAGGACCGGCUCACAGAUCGUAUUUAAGAGCACCAUAGGACGCUCUCGACUGCUGACUGGUGUCUUCCAACCAAUAACUUCCGGCAUUCUCUGGGACAAAGGUUCACAACAGCUAAGGAUCCUAACUAGGUGUGGAUUAUAGAGGGUUUUGUUUAUUUCAUUGAGGUCUGAGCCAAUCAACACUCUGCAGGAUGUGGGAUUGGACAGGGCCGCCCCGUGACUGUCAAAAUCCAGACUUGUGUGGUCAUCACGGAGCCUCCUUGUGCCCUCAGGAGGAGAACCAAGGACCGUGCCCUGGAGGAUUCUCCUGUGUACCUGACCUGGCAUUUGGACAGUUUUCCGUUAUGUACUCUGUAGUGAUACACAGCUCUAGAACUCAGUACUCAAGGGACCAGCAGAGGAGGGAAACUGGAACAUCAAUGCCCCUCUCUGAUGCGUGGGUGAACCCUAGUGAUCCUUUUUCAGAAUGGUGUUUCUAAAUGUAUAAUAAAUACUUUGAAUUACAAAA